Molecule: ribosomal RNA, 386 nt
Filed under: uncultured prokaryote
Description: bacterial SSU rRNA
Rfam family: Archaeal small subunit ribosomal RNA
Source: RNAcentral
GCGCGAAAACUUUACAAUGCCGGCAACGGCGAUAAGGGGACCUCGAGUGCCAGGUUACAAAUCUGGCUGUCGUGAUGCCUAAAAAGCAUUUCAUAGCAAGGGCCGGGCAAGACCGGUGCCAGCCGCCGCGGUAACACCGGCGGCUCGAGUGGUAACCGUUAUUAUUGGGUCUAAAGGGUCUGUAGCCGGCCGGGUAAGUCUCUUGAGAAAUCUGGCAGCUUAACUGUCAGGCUUUCAGGAGAUACUGUCUGGCUCGAGGCCGGGAGAGGUGAGAGGUACUUCAGGGGUAGGGGUGAAAUCUUGUAAUCCUUGAAGGACCACCAGUGGCGAAGGCGUCUCACCAGAACGGACCUGACGGCAAGGGACGAAAGCUAGGGGCACGAACC